RNAcentral lists this ribosomal RNA (215 nucleotides) under uncultured bacterium. RNAcentral's name for it is "partial 16S ribosomal RNA". It matches the Rfam family "Bacterial small subunit ribosomal RNA", at positions 1288 to 1500 of the family's 1533-position model. The record is from RNAcentral.
UCAGUUCGGAUUGUAGGCUGAAACUCGCCUACAUGAAGCUGGAGUUGCUAGUAAUCGCGAAUCAGCAUGUCGCGGUGAAUACGUUCCCGGGCCUUGUACACACCGCCCGUCACACCAUGAGAGUUGGCAAUACCCAACGUACGUGAUCUAACCCGCAAGGGAGGAAGCGUCCUAAGGUAGGGUCAGCGAUUGGGGUGAAGUCGUAACAAGGUAGC